AACAUAGAUAUAAAUAGAUUGCGAACUCGUGCAAUUGGAUUUUUCUAGGUCUGUUUGAUUUCAUAUUAUUGUUAAAAAAAUAUGUUAAUAAUCGUUUUUACCUGUAUAAAAAUGAGUUUUUCUAGAUCGAAUCAGUCAACCAAAUGGUUUACCUUGUCUCACUUCCAAUGUUUACAUUCUUUUUCAUUUAAUAACUGAACACGCCUAGUUCAUGCGUAAGCCAUCUCUAGAUAUAGGGUUCAAUUAAAGUUCACAUGAAUACAGAUUCAAUGAGGUCGAAUUACUCACUUGCAAGUGAAUAAUUCAUUAGCGAUGGUUCUUUGCUUGUUUUGACAAAACUGAACCAAACUGGCUGUUAAAAGCGAAUUAUUAUAUCACUAUUUCACUUUCAGUAAUGAUAGAACAAAAAAAAUCAUAUUUUAUUUUUUUUAUAUCUCCUAGCUAAUGCCCCUUUAAUCACUUACUGCGGUAUUAUAUACAUUUAGACAAACUAAGUUUUAUACUGAUGUUGGCUAUCAUUUUGAUAAAGUGAUUUGAUUGUUUGCAUCCAUCAAGGUUACUACUGUACAUAUAUAGAAGACACUGUGCAGUAAAUAUACCUGUCAACUUGCUAGAAUUUGGUUUCUAUAGACUUUUGCCUUGAAUAUACGGAUUGAGGUUAUUAUUCCUUAUUCCAGAAACAAUUGUGCCCAGAGAUCAGUGUCAUGCAUUGAUACUGUAUUUAGGUUUGCCCAGAGAUCAGUGUCAUGCAUUGAUACUGUAUUUAGGUUUGCCCAGAGAUCAGUGUCAUGCAUUGAUACUGUAUUUGGGUUUGCCCAGAGAUCAGUGUCAUGCAUUGAUACUGUAUUUAGGUUUGCCCAGAGAUCAGUGUCAUGCAUUGAUACUGUAUUUAGGUUUGCCCAGAGAUCAGUGUCAUGCAUUGAUACUGUAUUUAGGUUUGCCCAGAGAUCAGUGUCAUGCAUUGAUACUGUAUUUAGGAUUGCCCAGAGAUCAGUGUCAUGCAUUGAUACUGUAUAUAGGCUGAAAAUGCAUUCAAAUCCAACAAUCAAUCCAUUUGUAUGUCUUGGUUUUUUUUUAAUCUAAAGCAACGAAUGAGCAGUUAAAUGGAAAAAUUAAAUUUUAUACUUUCUUUUUAUGUUAUUCAUUUACAAUCACCAUUCAUCUGAUCUUUGUCCUUGAGGUUGAUACCUGGAAAACAUAGUCAAGUCUUGCUGUUAGUGGUUUAAAAGAUUGUAUCGUAACUAUUACCUUAUAAUAGCAGUUUUCACCAGUUAUUGACGAUAGUCUUCAAUGUUUUGUAUUUUAAUCUGAUUGAGUUAAAUGGUAAUACUACAGCGAUUUAGAUGAUAUUAUAACAGAAAUUGCCAACUGUUUGUUGGCUGAUUAUUCAAAUAUUGAGUUAAUUUGUUAUGAGUACUGGUAGAAGUACAAAAGGAAAAAGAAAUUUUGCCAGCAAAACAUACAUGGUGUAUGUAUAUAUUCUCUCGAAAUAAGACUAAAUGAGGAUCAUCAUCCUUAAUGUCAAAUUAUUUGAGUUCAUGCUUUUAGAAGGAAUUUUUCUGUUGUAUUUUGUCAUGGUUGCCUAAUGCUUGCAAAGAAGACGGCUUUUAGUAAAACAGAAAUACCAUGCUUUAAAGUUUGUAAAACAAUUUAGAAAAUAGAUAGACAACAAUGUUUUUUGGAGAGGUCUGUAGGUAGCUAAUGUUUAGGCUAUACUUUUUUUUUAAUUUGCUCAAUUCCAUUCCAGUUGCUUUUCAGUGUCAGUGAAACUUUUCUGCAUGUUCUCCUGAUUAUCAAGACUUUCAUCACAUACCUCUUGGCAUAGUUGCAAUUUUUUUCUCAUCCUGGAUAUUCAUGUAAUAUUUUCCAUUUAAAUGUCAAGCAGCCAAAAUGAAACCAUCAUUUUUGUAAUAAAUAUUUCAAUUAAGAAAUAAUCAGUUAUUAGUCAGUAAAAUUAUUAUUUUUGAUUUGAAAUACUUAAAGACUAAGCUAUAUUUAUACACAAAUUAUUGCUUUUUUUGAUUUAUAUUGUAUCAGUUUAUAUGUUGAUUUUUAUAAUGUUGUUAAUUAGAUAUGUUUUUAAUAAACUUUCUAAAAUACUGCAA
Molecule: long non-coding RNA, 2105 nt
Organism: Mytilus californianus (California mussel)
Lineage: Eukaryota; Metazoa; Mollusca; Bivalvia; Mytilida; Mytilidae
Exons: 3
Source: RefSeq, a predicted model, not a curated record